Sardina pilchardus (European sardine) is the source of this 1583-nucleotide long non-coding RNA. RefSeq lists it as uncharacterized. The transcript has 2 exons. The record is from RefSeq and is a predicted model, not a curated record. Lineage: Eukaryota; Metazoa; Chordata; Actinopteri; Clupeiformes; Clupeidae.
CAUUCGUUUGUUUGCUCCUGGCUUUUUCAGUUUCGAUUCUGGCUCUCGCGUUUGCGCUGCCUGUUUCUUUGCUUGCGAUUCUGGCACAAACUUCACAUGUGGGUGGGUGUCUGUGGGGUGCAUUCCUAUUGGCUGAUGCGUUUUGACUGACAGCUUUACUAUGGAUUCAAGCGCAAGAGCUACCCACCUCCCCCCCUCCCCAGUAGGUAGUGGUGCAACGCUCUUUUUGGCCACUAUGUACAGUUAUAUGCGAUGUGGCGCUAUUGAGCACAGUAUGUCAACCGCCAUAUGAAGAAGAAGAAGAUAUUGACCACAGUAAGUUCCGUGGAGCUAGCUACACCAAAGCCAUCGAUGGGCUACACGCGUUAUGGACUCAAAACAAUGGGUUUUCCUCACUACUCAUUAACCCAAGAACAACUCAUCGUGAUGGAGCACCUGUACUCCCUGAUACAGCAGGAUCUGAGGGGAUUCCUCAGACAGGACGCAGAUGUGGAUUGACAACAUCCUGCAGUUUGACCUGUUCAACCGACCUCUUCUCUGUCCCAUACACACCUUUGUCCCAUACACGUCUUUGGUCAACCUCUGCUUCAUUGCCAUCACAACCAUCGGUCCCUGUUUCAUCUGCAGCACAACACAGCACAGCUGACGGCCUCUUCUCCAUCUGCAGCACAGCACCACACACCAGACAGAGUCCGCUGCGUCUUUCACACACCUGGUGGAUCCUAUUGUGUGCCUCACAUACCUGAGAGACUCUGCUCCACAGUACCUGCAGGCUCUGCCCUGCCCCACCCCUCGCACACCCGAUGGACCUAGCUGUGUCCCUCACAUACACAAUGCACUGUACCCCAUCCCUCACACAGCCGAUGGACCUAGCUGUGUCCCUCACAUACACAAUGCGCUGUACCCCAUCACUCACACACCCGAUGGAUCUAGCUGUGUCCCUCACAUACACAAUGCGCUGUACCCCAUCCCUCACACACCCAACAGACCCUGUUGUGUCUCUAACACACACAGCAGGCUUUGCCCAGCCCCUCAGGGUGGCUCUGAAAUCUGUGGCUUUCACACUCCCAACAGACGCUGCUCUCUCCCUCACACACCCGGCUGGCUCUGCCCGGUCCGUUGCACACCUGCAGACUUCCAGCCGCCACAAACCCAGCUCACCCUUCUCCUGCUGUGUCCUUUACAAACCAAAAAACGCAGCUAUGCUCCGCACAUGACUAGCUGACUCUGCCUGGUCCCUUGCACACCCAGUGGACGUGGACACUGUUGUGACUGUUGAUAUUGCUGUUAUUGUUGAUAUACAUAGGUUUCUCGUUUACCAACUAUACAGGCUGCGCACGCAUCCGAGAGGCAGAAAAUGCCAAGCUACAUUACAAAGUUACCAAGUAGUUGGAUGUUAAGAAUGGUAAGCUUAUAUGCUAUGAUUAAUUAAGCAAUGAAAAAGUGAUGUUAUCUUCCAAAAAAAUGUAUUUAUUCAGUCAGAGUUCCCAAAAGUACAGCUUGAUGAUGGUAUUGACAAACAUACUGGGAAGGCAGAGCGCCGAAGCGCGUCUGUGUGAAUAAAUGGUGAUUGCUUAUGCAUA